UGCUGCAGGAAUGGUCUGUCCCUCCAGUGUCAGUGUUAUGCUGACGAAUGUGCAUAGUUAGCUGGUGCUGUGUAGUGCAAAUCUUUUCACACAGAGGACAGGUAUAGGAAGACUUCUCUUCUUUUGUUUCCUGAUUCCUCCUACCAAUCCGAUUUGGUGCAGGAGACUUCGAGGGAGAUUUGACAGUCUGAGAGGUCCCCCCAUUUUCAGCUAUCUUCCCC
This 221-nucleotide long non-coding RNA is filed under the name Gallus gallus (chicken). The record is from RNAcentral. Lineage: Eukaryota; Metazoa; Chordata; Aves; Galliformes; Phasianidae.